GCAAAAAAGCUAGCCUUACCACCCACCCAGACAACAUAUCACAUAAAUAACACACCAUAAAAUAAACCAUUCUCCCCCCUAAGUAUAGGAGAUAGAAAAGGAAAUGUAGAGCUAUAGAGAAAAGUACCGCAAGGGAAAGCUGAAAAAGAAAUGAAACAAAUCGUAUCAGCAAUAAAAAGCAGAGACUAACCCUCGUACCUUUUGCAUCAUGGUUUAGCAAGAAUCAUCCAGGCAAAGAGAACUUAAGUCUGAACCCCCGAAACUAGACGAGCUACCUCGAGGCAGUUUUAUAGAACCAACCCGUCUCUGUGGCAAAAGAGUGGGAAGACCCCCAGGUAGAGGUGAAAAGCCUAACGAGCCUAGUGAUAGCUGGUUGCUUAAGAAAAGAAUAUUAGUUCAGCACUAAAUCAUCCUAUUAACCAAAAAAUCUUACGGAAUUAGAGAGACUUAGCAGUUAGUCAAAAGGGGUACAGCCCUUUUGAAAUAGAACACAACCUUAUAAAGGAGGACAAGGAUCAUAAACUCAACUAAGGACACUGCCCCCGUGGGCCUAAAAGCAGCCACCCAAACAGAAAGCGUUAAAGCUCAAGCAGAACAUUACCAGUAAUACAGAUAAAUAAAUCCAAACCCCCUAAUCAAUAUUAAGCCAUCCUAUGUACCACAUAGAAAAGAUAAUGCUGAAAUCAGUAAUAAGGGGGCAUUAGCCCCCCUCCUAGCACAAGUGUAAAUCAGACCGGACAAGCCGCUGACACCUAAACAGACCCAGAAUGAGGGCAAAACAAAUCAAUCACGAAACAUAAACAAGAAGAAAAUGUAUAAAACACUGUUAACCCAACACAGGAGUGCUACCAUAGGAAAGACUCAAAAGGGAAGAAGGAACUCGGCAAACACAAACCCCGCCUGUUUACCAAAAACAUCGCCUCUUGCUAAAAAAAGAAGUAUUAGAGGUCCCGCCUGCCCUGUGACCCAUGUGUUUAACGGCCGCGGUAUCCUUGACCGUGCGAAGGUAGCGCAAUCACUUGUCUUUUAAAUGAAGACCCGUAUGAAUGGCACGACGAGGGUUUAACUGUCUCCUACCCCAAGUCAAUGAAAUUGACCUGUCCGUGCAGAGGCGGACAUAAUAACAUAAGACGAGAAGACCCUAUGGAGCUUUAGGUAAAAUAUCACGUACGUAAAGAUAGAUAAUAAAAGCUAAAGACACUAAAACCACACUAAAACUAAGAUACAAAUGAUAUAAAUACCUUCGGUUGGGGCGACCAUGGGGGAAAAAAAAGCCCCCAAGCGGAAAGGAAACACAAUCCUAAACCAAGAAAGACAAUUCUAAGUAACAGAACAUCUGACCAUGAAUGACCCAGGCACAACCAGCCUGAUCAACGAACCAAGUUACCCUAGGGAUAACAGCGCAAUCCUUUCCCAGAGUCCAUAUCGACGAAAGGGUUUACGACCUCGAUGUUGGAUCAGGACAUCCUAAUGGUGCAGAAGCUAUUAAGGGUUCGUUUGUUCAACGAUUAACAGUCCUACGUGAUCUGAGUUCAGACCGGAGUAAUCCAGGUCGGUUUCUAUCUAUGAUACAACUUCUUCCUAGUACGAAAGGACCGGAAAAAGGGGGCCAAUGCUAAAGACAAGCCCCACUCCCACUUACUGAAAACAAAUAAAAUAAAUAAAGGAGCACUCUCUCUCAGCCAAAGAUCAAGGCAA
This 1698-nucleotide ribosomal RNA is filed under the name Kaupichthys hyoproroides (false moray). Its description in RNAcentral is "16S rRNA". The stretch from base 86 to 1586 matches the Rfam family "Bacterial large subunit ribosomal RNA". Lineage: Eukaryota; Metazoa; Chordata; Actinopteri; Anguilliformes; Chlopsidae. The record is from RNAcentral.